UUUGACCUCAAAUCAGGUAGGAUUACCCGCUGAACUUAAGCAUAUCAAUAAGCGGAGGAAAAGAAACUAACAAGGAUUCCCCUAGUAACUGCGAGUGAAGCGGGAAAAGCUCAAAUUUAAAAUCUGGCGGUCUUCGGCCGUCCGAGUUGUAGUCUGGAGAAGUGCUUUCCGCGCUGGACCGUGUACAAGUCUCUUGGAACAGAGCGUCAUAGAGGGUGAGAAUCCCGUCUUUGACACGGACUACCAGUGCUUUGUGAUGCGCUCUCAAAGAGUCGAGUUGUUUGGGAAUGCAGCUCAAAAUGGGUGGUAAAUUCCAUCUAAAGCUAAAUAUUGGCGAGAGACCGAUAGCGAACAAGUACCGUGAGGGAAAGAUGAAAAGCACUUUGGAAAGAGAGUUAAACAGUACGUGAAAUUGCUGAAAGGGAAACGAUUGAAGUCAGUCGCGUUAGCCAGGACUCAGCCUUGUUUUUACUUGGUGCAUUUUCUGGUUGACGGGCCAGCAUCGAUUUUGACCGCCGGAAAAAGAUUGGGGGAAUGUGGCACCUUCGGGUGUGUUAUAGCCCUCAGUCACAUACGGCGAUUGGGAUCGAGGACCGCAGCACGCCUUUAUGGCCGGGGUUCGCCCACGUUCGUGCUUAGGAUGCUGGCGUAAUGGCUUUAAACGACCCGUCUUGAAACACGGACCAAGGAGUCUAACAUGCCUGCGAGUGUUUGGGUGGAAAACCCGAGCGCGUAAUGAAAGUGAAAGUUGAGAUCCCUGUCGCGGGGAGCAUCGACGCCCGGACUUGAACUUCGGUGAUAGAUCUGCGGUAGAGCAUGUAUGUUGGGACCCGAAAGAUGGUGAACUAUGCCUGAAUAGGGUGAAGCCAGAGGAAACUCUGGUGGAGGCUCGUAGCGAUUCUGACGUGCAAAUCGAUCGUCAAAUUUGGGUAUAGGGGCGAAAGACUAAUCGAACCAUCUAGUAGCUGGUUCCUGCCGAAGUUUCCCUCAGGAUAGCAGAAACUCGUAUCAGAUUUAUGUGGUAAAGCGAAUGAUUAGAGGCCUUGGGGUUGAAACAACCUUAACCUAUUCUCAAACUUUAAAUAUGUAAGA
This 1092-nucleotide ribosomal RNA is filed under the name Fomitopsis serialis. Its description in RNAcentral is "eukaryotic LSU rRNA". It matches the Rfam family "Eukaryotic large subunit ribosomal RNA", at positions 1 to 1078 of the family's 3401-position model. Lineage: Eukaryota; Fungi; Basidiomycota; Agaricomycetes; Polyporales; Fomitopsidaceae. The record is from RNAcentral.